AUGGUGCUAAAGACGAGUCUGGAUCAACCACCACGGAUGGAGGUGGCCGCCGAGCUGUGUAGGCCACUGUGCUCAACUUUUCAUAGCAUGCACAUGGUGGACAAUGGCGGGGAGCUAAUGUUGGUGCACCGCAUGCUCCGGAGUAGCCCCAGGAGGUUCGACUACGACCUGUAUCGACUGGAUUUGGAGAUGGGGAAAUUUUUCCCGGCAAACAGCUUCAAUGGACGUGCACUGUUUAUGGCUAGACAUUGCUCUCUUUCGGUGUCCACAAAAGUUUUUCCCUCCAUCAGUUCUGACACUAUCUACAUGAGCUUCGAUUUGGAUGAGAGAGCCGCUGGUACUACACCAGAGGACAACCUCAUGGUGCUGGAGACGAGGGCAGAUCGGCGACCACGGAUGAAGGUGGCUGCCAAGUUGCGGAGGCACGUUUGCAGGACGGCGGGUACCGCGCACCUCGUGGACAACGGUGGAGAGUUAAUGGUGGUGCACCGUAUGCUUUCUCGUUCAGAUAACUCAAGGUACAAAGUGUAUCAACUGGAUUUCGAUAACAAGAGACUACUCCGGGUCAAGACCUUGAGCAAGCGGGCGCUGUUCUUGGCGAUGCAUUACUCUUUCUCGGUGUCCAUGAGGGUUUUCCCCUCCAUUUGUGGUGACACUAUCUAUUUUAGCUUUGAUCUUCAGGAGAGAUUUGAUGAGCACAUUGAGGCCUACUGUCUCACCGACAAAAGCAACAAGCUGGCAAACUACAUCUUAAACAGCACUUUGUGCAGAGUCGUGCCAUCGCCGCAUAGUGUCGCUGACUGUCUCUCCUGCAAUACUUUCAUAACUUCAGGAUUGUAUUCCAAUUGGUUGGCAUCAAUAAUAACUUCAGCUACAAAGCUUUCUGGUGAUGUUCGUUCAGUGGAAGAGGACGUUUUCAUUGACUACGAGGCAUCUGUUAUGACUUCAUCAAUCUCAAGAUUUGCUGGCUUGGUCUAUCGAAGGUGUUCACAAGGAUAG
This 999-nucleotide ribosomal RNA is filed under the name Triticum aestivum (bread wheat). Its description in RNAcentral is "partial small subunit ribosomal RNA". Lineage: Eukaryota; Viridiplantae; Streptophyta; Magnoliopsida; Poales; Poaceae. The record is from RNAcentral.